This 472-nucleotide ribosomal RNA is filed under the name uncultured bacterium. RNAcentral describes it as "bacterial SSU rRNA". It matches the Rfam family "Bacterial small subunit ribosomal RNA", at positions 355 to 825 of the family's 1533-position model. The record is from RNAcentral.
UCGGGAAUUUUGGACAAUGGGCGCAAGCCUGAUCCAGCCAUGCCGCGUGUGGGAAGAAGGCCUUCGGGUUGUAAACCACUUUUGUCAGGGAAGAAACGGCCUGAUCUAAUACAUUGGGUUAAUGACGGUACCUGAAGAAUAAGCACCGGCUAACUACGUGCCAGCAGCCGCGGUAAUACGUAGGGUGCGAGCGUUAAUCGGAAUUACUGGGCGUAAAGCGUGCGCAGGCGGCUUUGCAAGACAGAUGUGAAAUCCCCGGGCUCAACCUGGGAACUGCAUUUGUGACUGCAAGGCUAGAGUACGGUAGAGGGGGAUGGAAUUCCGCGUGUAGCAGUGAAAUGCGUAGAUAUGCGGAGGAACACCGAUGGCGAAGGCAAUCCCCUGGACCUGUACUGACGCUCAUGCACGAAAGCGUGGGGAGCAAACAGGAUUAGAUACCCACGUAGUCCCUGAGCGGGCUGGCAAGGCGCAU